UAGGGAAUCUUCCGCAAUGGACGCAAGUCUGACGGAGCAACGCCGCGUGAGUGAAGAAGGAUUUCGGUUCGUAAAACUCUGUUGUUAGAGAAGAACAGCGCAUAGAGUAACUGUUAUGCGUGUGACGGUAUCUAACCAGAAAGCCACGGCUAACUACGUGCCAGCAGCCGCGGUAAUACGUAGGUCCCGAGCGUUGUCCGGAUUUAUUGGGCGUAAAGCGAGCGCAGGCGGUUAGAAAAGUCUGAAGUGAAAGGCAGUGGCUCAACCAUUGUAGGCUUUGGAAACUGUUUAACUUGAGUGCAGAAGGGGAGAGUGGAAUUCCAUGUGUAGCGGUGAAAUGCGUAGAUAUAUGGAGGAACACCGGUGGCGAAAGCGACUCUCUGGUCUGUAACUGACGCUGAGGCUCGAAAGCGUGGGGAGCGAACAGG
This 428-nucleotide ribosomal RNA is filed under the name Bacteroidota bacterium. RNAcentral's name for it is "Bacteroidetes bacterium partial 16S ribosomal RNA". It matches the Rfam family "Bacterial small subunit ribosomal RNA", at positions 355 to 776 of the family's 1533-position model. Lineage: Bacteria; Pseudomonadati; Bacteroidota. The record is from RNAcentral.